AGUGAACGCUGGCGGCAGGCCUAAUACAUGCAAGUCGAACGGCAGCACAGCAGAGCUUGCUCUGUGGGUGGCGAGUGGCGGACGGGUGAGGAAUACAUGGGAAUCUGCCCAGUCGUGGGGGAUAACGUAUGGAAACGUACGCUAAUACCGCAUGCGCCCUACGGGGGAAAGUCGGGGACCGCAAGGCCUGACGCGAUUGGAUGAGCCCAUGUUCGAUUAGCUAGUUGGCGGGGUAAAGGCCCACCAAGGCGACGAUCGAUAGCUGGUCUGAGAGGAUGAUCAGCCACACUGGAACUGAGACACGGUCCAGACUCCUACGGGAGGCAGCAGUAGGGAAUAUUGGACAAUGGGGGCAACCCUGAUCCAGCCAUGCCGCGUGAGUGAAGAAGGCCCUCGGGUUGUAAAGCUCUUUGU
RNAcentral lists this ribosomal RNA (414 nucleotides) under uncultured bacterium. Its description in RNAcentral is "bacterial SSU rRNA". It matches the Rfam family "Bacterial small subunit ribosomal RNA", at positions 29 to 438 of the family's 1533-position model. The record is from RNAcentral.